UCACUUUCUCUCCUACUUUAU
This 21-nucleotide non-coding RNA is filed under the name Arabidopsis thaliana (thale cress). The record is from RNAcentral. Lineage: Eukaryota; Viridiplantae; Streptophyta; Magnoliopsida; Brassicales; Brassicaceae.